AUCCUUCUUCUUCCACUACCCUAAUAUAAAUUCGCCCUUUCCCCGAUCAAGGGACAAACAUGUAUUGCAAUCAUUAGUCUGAGUUACAAGUUAAAGGACAAUUAUUACAAUAUUGACAUAACGGGAUAUAUCGGUAUCUGUACGUCUGCAUGGAAUUUCUGAAUGAUUCGUUAAUGUGGAAUUACAUGUAAUAACUUUGUCCAGUUUUGGCUGGGAUGUGAUGACUCAUAAGUUGCUACCCCACCCAACCUACAAUUUCUUUCACAUACUUGUGCCACUCCUUAUCCAAAUGAGUUGUCGUCACUUUCUUAAGCUCUGCACGAUUUAAAAUUCUGAAAAGUAAAUUUUUAUUAUUAAAAUUAGGCAGUAUUCAUGCAAGGUUGGUUCUUCAUCCGUGGAAUGGGAAUAUCUCAAAGAUUUGCAUGAUUUACUUUUAAAAGGACCGUCAACCGCGUAGAUGUGGAUUGCAAAGGAUCUGCUCAAAAUCGGCUGGUAAAUGUGUCUUUGGACAAUGCUCUACCCAUUAAGUUGUACUGUAUUCACUAUUGACCUCGAGGAUCGGAAGUUGAAAUGGGCACGAAGGCAAAAUAUUCGCGUGCAAACUCUCUCACCAGGUUCAAAAAAGGUUAAUGAAGAGGAUAUCACUGGAAUUUGAAUUACCAUUACCGGUCUUCUCGUUAUGUAAUCUGUUCACUAGGAUAAAGUAGCUUACUGUUGUGGCUUAGCUUGUGAGAAAAAAUUCUCAAACUGGCAUAUUUACAUUACAUAAAUACAAAAGAUAAUGAUGAAUAUGUACAUAUGGGUAUGUAUGUACGUACAUAUAUGCAAAAGUGACUUUUUAGUAACCUCAGUUUUAAAGUACGAUUCAGAUUUAAUUUUUCAAAUUUCUAUUUGCAAUUUAUAUCCUAUGGUAAUGGACCUGACCUCAAAAAUCGAUUUUUAGAAAUCCUUCGAGUAUGUGUUGCGGCAUUGUAAUUCCACCCCCACCCAAAUCCAUCCCCUCUCCAUUUGUGUUUUCAUCAAGAUCGAAGUGCCUAUUGGUUUGUUCUCGCUGCACUCUGUUUAGGUAUUCUUCCGGGUGGAAUCUAGUUCUUGGAGUCUUAUACGGGUCACGAACGGGUUUUCCUGGUAUUUUUGUUAAUUCCUUCAAUGCCUGUUUUGUAGGCAGGUGGUCAAGACCGUACAUCUCAAGCGUAUACUUUCGGGUAUACUUACGAGAGGUCACACGCGUAUUUCUCCAUGGAUCUGACGGGCCACCUAUUUCAUAUUUGUCCUCUUCUUGCUGCCUUCUUUUGGACUUUCUCAACUCCUCCUGAUAGCAAAUGUCGCUUUUAUGAGUCUCAUCAUCUGAAACCAAAUGUUGGCUUCAAAUUUGACUUCCCCGACCUUUGCUUGGUGAAAAGGCUAUCGUCAUGUGAUUCACACGUUUUGGAUACAGUAAAACUGUUAGAGCACACAUCAUUGUCAAAUGGGUUAUCUGCAGAUGAACUUAACUGAAAGCAGCCUUCUUCUACUGGUCGUAAAUGUUGCAUCAACGGGUUAAGAGGCCUUUCAACCUCUACUACGGGAUUUUUUGUGGAGUUUAAGGCCAAUAAGUUAACUUCGUAAUUUUUUAGCAGGCAUUUUAUGCGAAAAGUUACGAAUAUUAUAAAAAGCUAAACUGUAUUAAAUUAUUACUUCAGACAUUGUUUUAACAUACAACUUUUAUUUAGCUAAAUAGGGAGUUUAUCUUCUCCCUCGUUUACAUGCAUAUUGUUGGUAAAUGCCUAAAAAAUAAGGUUUUGUGGUGUGUACAUGCGUAACAUUUGUAGUCGACGGAAAGCUUUUCAACCUAAAAUAUAUAUUUCUAUGAUAAAAAAAUCCAUGCAUAAAAUUUAGAUACAGGUAAAUCUAAAUUGUUUACAAUCAUUACGAUUGGGUUUCGGUUACGUUGUUGGUGACGUCGCUCCCGAGUCGGAAGGUUUGGCUGCAAAUAUGACGAUAUCGAUGUUGUUAAUCCGUGGAUGAGAUUAGUGGUGAUGCAACAUAAAACUCAUGAUAUGCCCGGCAUUUCAUGAGUUUAAAUUAACCCUCCCAAUAUUUGUAUAAAAAUUGUGCAAAAUAUUUCAAAUUAAUUUUUACCCAUUCUAUUCACUCUGUUUUGACGAAUUUACCGUUUUUCGUUUAUAUUUAGAUUUUUCUUAAUCUCUCGAGUCGGAGGAGAAUCCUUCUGGUUAUGUAUGAGAAUUAGCUGGCUAAGAAGCAUAUGUGUAUGUCUAGAUAUAUGUAUGGCAUAAUAAUAUAUCAUAUAGUACAUUGUUGAAUUAGAUGUCCCUCGUCGCAUGAUAUAUUAAUUAUAUAAUUCAGUUUGAGAAAUGCUGUAAUGCUUUCCUUUCUUAACAACUCUGAGGAAAUUAUCAAGUACAGCACCGUUCUAAUUGGGGUUGCAUCUGUGUAAGUAAACCAGACAUGCUAAUCAUAAUAAAGACAUUUUAUCCAGUAAAUAAAAUAAUAAUUGUAUUGGUUAGUUACUUUUUAAAUUCUGCAAAUUAGUAAGAUCUUCGCCAUUAUCGGAGUUAACGUAAAUGUGAGACCGAACCCAAAAUCAUAAAUUUUAUUGUCAUUUCAUUGCUAAGCGCAUCAAGGGGUGACACGAUCACAUGUAUGCAGACGACUGGCUUAUCCUGAAAAAGUUGAGGGAAAUUGUUAAAUGGAAAUCUAAACGUCACAACGGAUUACGUUUAAACUUUUGAGUUAUUAACUCUUCUCAGGCAUGGCCCAUAGAGUUAUAUUUUGAACGAAAUAUUUUAAAAGUAAAAUAUAUAGUAAAAUAUUCGCGCAAUAAUAGUAGAGUUUCGUGGUUUUAAUUUGCUGUAAUUUUGCAUUGCACACGACUAGUUGAAGAAGACGUAAUGGUAAAAGUACGUCAAAAAUCAAUUAAAUAUAUAAAUUUAGAAAAAAACCUCUCGAAUUCGAAGAAGCUCGACAACGACAUAGAACCAAGCUUGGUAAAAUGAGUUGAGGCGCUAAAUAUUAUAAUUUGAAUAAUUUCAAAUGUCAGUACGACAAUGUUUUCAUAACCGAAAUAUGAUUAGGAAUACUUUGUCCUGAGCACGCUGAACGUAUGUAAAUAAUUAUGGUUAGUGUAAUUUACCAGGAGACUCUACCGAUAAGCCUAGAUAUCGUUACCAUUUGUAGGUAUGUGUAACGUAAUAUCCAUCAUACCUUAUUUCUCCGAGUUGACCUUCAAAAUAUGUAUGAUUUAUUUACGAAGUUCGUAUUAUUCUUGCAAAUCGUACAAGGAUACGUUGUUAUUUUAUCCUUAACUUAAUUAGUUGAAUGAAUGAAUGAAUGAAUGAAAGUUUAUUUAACUCUUCUUGGCAAGCCCAUAGAGUUAUAUUUUUUAAAUUAUGUAAAUAAUGUAAUAAUUAAUAAUAAAUAUAAUUAACUAAUUAAUUAAUUAUAUUGAAAUCAUUUUUAAAUCGUUCCAUAUUAAAUUAAAUUCAAAGUUGAGUUAUAUAUUGAAUUAUUGAGUUGGAUUAUUGACAUUGAUAAUAGAGAGGUAUUACCUAAUUACGUAGAAUGGUAGUUUUAGGUCCUAAAUUAACCUAAGUUAACUUAAUUAGUUAACUUGUGUCUUGACUGUGUUGACAUAAAUUUAAUGCUUUCUAAUUCAAGAAUUUUAUUUUGUUCCGCUCGAUGUGUACACUCUAUAUAUUUAAGCAAUCUUUCAUUAUGUCAUUUGUUCAUGUGCUAUGAAAAAAUAGUCAUUGUCAAAUAGUCAUUGCCAAAUAAAACCUGUUAUAUUCAAAACCAA
Long non-coding RNA from Folsomia candida, 3796 nucleotides. RefSeq lists it as uncharacterized. The transcript has 4 exons. The record is from RefSeq and is a predicted model, not a curated record. NCBI's taxonomy places the organism in Eukaryota, Metazoa, Arthropoda, Collembola, Entomobryomorpha, Isotomidae.